This 468-nucleotide ribosomal RNA is filed under the name uncultured bacterium. RNAcentral's name for it is "partial 16S ribosomal RNA". It matches the Rfam family "Bacterial small subunit ribosomal RNA", at positions 28 to 507 of the family's 1533-position model. The record is from RNAcentral.
GACGAACGCUGGCGGCGUGCUUAACACAUGCAAGUCGAACGGAAAGGCCCUGCAUUUGUGGGGUGCUCGAGUGGCGAACGGGUGAGUAACACGUGAGUAACCUGCCCUUGACUUUGGGAUAACUUCAGGGAACUGGGGCUAAUACCGGAUAGGAGCUCCUGCUGCAUGGUGGGGGUUGGAAAGUUUAGGCGGUUGGGGAUGGACUCGCGGCUUAUCAGCUUGUUGGUGGGGUAGUGGCUUACCAAGGCUUUGACGGGUAGCCGGCCUGAGAGGGUGACCGGCUACAGUGGGACUGAGACACGGACCAGACUCCUACGGCAGGCAGCAGUGGGGAAUAUGGCACAAUGGGCGGAAGCCUGAUGCAGAAACGCCGCGUGCGGGAUAACGGCCUUCGGGUUGUAAACCGAUUUCGCCUGUGACGAAGCGUGAGUGACGGUAAUGGGUAAAGAAGCACCGGCUAACUACGUG